GACGAACGCUGGCGGCGUGCCUAAUACAUGCAAGUCGAACGCACAGUUUAUACCGUAGCUUGCUACACCAUAAACUGUGAGUUGCGAACGGGUGAGUAACGCGUAGGUAACCUGCCUGGUAGCGGGGGAUAACUAUUGGAAACGAUAGCUAAUACCGCAUAAUAUUAAUUAUUGCAUGUUAAUUGAUUGAAAGAUGCAAUUGCAUCACUACCAGAUGGACCUGCGUUGUAUUAGCUAGUAGGUGAGGUAACGGCUCACCUAGGCGACGAUACAUAGCCGACCUGAGAGGGUGAUCGGCCACACUGGGACUGAGACACGGCCCAGACUCCUACGGGAGGCAGCAGUAGGGAAUCUUCGGCAAUGGACGAAAGUCUGACCGAGCAACGCCGCGUGAGUGAAGAAGGUUUUCGGAUCGUAAAGCUCUGUUGUAAGAGAAGAACGGGUGUGAGAGUGGAAAGUUCACACUGUGACGGUAUCUUACCAGAAAGGGACGGCUAACUACGUG
Molecule: ribosomal RNA, 505 nt
Filed under: uncultured bacterium
Lineage: Bacteria
Description: partial 16S ribosomal RNA
Rfam family: Bacterial small subunit ribosomal RNA
Source: RNAcentral